RNAcentral lists this ribosomal RNA (250 nucleotides) under uncultured prokaryote. RNAcentral's name for it is "partial 16S rRNA". It matches the Rfam family "Bacterial small subunit ribosomal RNA", at positions 525 to 775 of the family's 1533-position model. The record is from RNAcentral.
ACGUAGGGGGCAAGCGUUAUCCGGAAUUAUUGGGCGUAAAGAGCGCGUAGGUGGUCUUUUAAGCGUGAGGUGAAAGGCAAUAGUUUAACUAUUGUAAGCCUUGCGAACUGGCUGGCUUGAGUGCAGGAGAGGAAAGUGGAAUUCCUCGUGUAGCGGUGAAAUGCGUAGAUAUUAGGAGGAACACCAGUGGCGAAGGCGACUUACUGGACUGUAACUGACGCUGAGGCACGAAAGUGUGGGGAGCAAACAU